GACGAACGCUGGCGGCGUGCUUAACACAUGCAAGUCGAACGCUGAAGCUUGGUGCUUGCACUGGGUGGAUGAGUGGCGAACGGGUGAGUAAUACGUGAGUAACCUGCCCUUGACUCUGGGAUAAGCCUGGGAAACUGGGUCUAAUACUGGAUACGACAUGUCACCGCAUGGUGGUGUGUGGAAAGGGUUUUACUGGUUUUGGAUGGGCUCACGGCCUAUCAGCUUGUUGGUGGGGUAAUGGCUCACCAAGGCGGCGACGGGUAGCCGGCCUGAGAGGGUGACCGGCCACACUGGGACUGAGACACGGCCCAGACUCCUACGGGAGGCAGCAGUGGGGAAUAUUGCACAAUGGGCGGAAGCCUGAUGCAGCGACGCCGCGUGAGGGAUGACGGCCUUCGGGUUGUAAACCUCUUUCAGCACGGAAGAAGCGAAAGUGACGGUACGUGCAGAGGAAGCGCCGGCUAACUACGUG
Molecule: ribosomal RNA, 472 nt
Filed under: uncultured bacterium
Lineage: Bacteria
Description: partial 16S ribosomal RNA
Rfam family: Bacterial small subunit ribosomal RNA
Source: RNAcentral